GAGGGAGUAGGGAAGGAGGUAGGAGGGAGUAGGGAAGGAGGUAGGAGGGAAGAGGUAGGAGGGAAGAGGUAGGAGGGAGGAGGUAGGAGGGAGUAGGGAAUGAGGGAGUAGGGAAGGAGGUAGGAGGGAGGAGGGAAGAGGUAGGAGGGAGUAGGGAAGGAGGUAGGAGGGAAGGAGGUAGGAGGGAAGGAGGUAGGAGGGAAGAGGUAGGAGGGAAGAGGUAGGAGGGAGGACAGAGUAGGGAAGGAGGUAGGAGGGAGGAGGUAGGACAGAAGAGGGAGGUAGUAGGAGGGAGGAGGGAAGAGGUAGGAGGAAAGAGGUAGGAGGGAGGGAGGACGGAGGGAGUAGGGAAGGAGGUAGGAGGGAGGAGGUAGGGUUGAAGAG
Oncorhynchus tshawytscha (Chinook salmon) is the source of this 384-nucleotide long non-coding RNA. The record is from Ensembl. Lineage: Eukaryota; Metazoa; Chordata; Actinopteri; Salmoniformes; Salmonidae.